GAUGAACGCUAGCUACAGGCUUAACACAUGCAAGUCGAGGGGAACGACAUCGAAAGCUUGCUUUUGAUGGGCGUCGACCGGCGCACGGGUGAGUAACGCGUAUCCAACCUGCCCACCACUUGGGGAUAACCUUGCGAAAGUAAGACUAAUACCCAAUGAUAUCCCACGAAGGCAUCCGAAUGGGAUUAAAGAUUUAUCGGUGAUGGAUGGGGAUGCGUCUGAUUAGCUUGUUGGCGGGGUAACGGCCCACCAAGGCUACGAUCAGUAGGGGUUCUGAGAGGAAGGUCCCCCACAUUGGAACUGAGACACGGUCCAAACUCCUACGGGAGGCAGCAGUGAGGAAUAUUGGUCAAUGGGCGGAAGUCUGAACCAGCCAAGUAGCGUGCAGGAUGACGGCCCUAUGGGUUGUAAACUGCUUUUAUGUGGGAAUAAAGUGAGGGACGUGUCCCUUUUUGUAGGUACCACAUGAAUAAGGACCGGCUAAUUCCGUG
This 491-nucleotide ribosomal RNA is filed under the name uncultured bacterium. Its description in RNAcentral is "bacterial SSU rRNA". It matches the Rfam family "Bacterial small subunit ribosomal RNA", at positions 28 to 507 of the family's 1533-position model. The record is from RNAcentral.